RNAcentral lists this ribosomal RNA (1437 nucleotides) under uncultured Campylobacterota bacterium. RNAcentral's name for it is "bacterial SSU rRNA". It matches the Rfam family "Bacterial small subunit ribosomal RNA". The record is from RNAcentral. Lineage: Bacteria; Pseudomonadati; Campylobacterota.
AGCGUUUGGGACCGUGGCGGCGUGCUUAACACAUGCAAGUCGAACGGUAACAGAUAGAGCUUGCUCUAUGCUGACGAGUGGCGCACGGGUGAGUAAUGUAUAGCUAACAUGCCCUAUAGAGGGGGAUAGCCACUGGAAACGGUGAUUAAUACCCCAUACUCCUUCUAAACAUAAGUUUAGUUGGGAAAGUUUUUCGCUAUAGGAUUGGGCUAUAUUGUAUCAGCUAGUUGGUGAGGUAAGAGCUUACCAAGGCUAUGACGCAUAGCGGGUCUGAGAGGAUGAUCCGCCACACUGGAACUGAGACACGGUCCAGACUCCUACGGGAGGCAGCAGUGGGGAAUAUUGGGCAAUGGGCGAAAGCCUGACCCAGCAACGCCGCGUGGAGGAUGACGCAUUUCGGUGUGUAAACUCCUUUUAUUAGGGAAGAUAAUGACGGUACCUAAUGAAUAAGCACCGGCUAACUCCGUGCCAGCAGCCGCGGUAAUACGGAGGGUGCAAGCGUUACUCGGAAUCACUGGGCGUAAAGCGCGCGCAGGCGGACUAAUAAGCUAGAAGUGAAAUGCUGUGGCUCAACCAUAGAACUGCUUCUAGAACUGUUAGUCUAGAGUCUGGGAGGGGAAGAUGGAAUUAGUUGUGUAGGGGUAAAAUCCGUAGAGAUAACUAGGAAUACCAAAAGCGAAGGCGAUCUUCUGGAACAGUACUGACGCUGAGGCGCGAAAGCGUGGGGAGCAAACAGGAUUAGAUACCCUGGUAGUCCACGCCCUAAACGAUGAAUGUUAGUCGUUGGAGUGCUAGUCACUUCAGUGAUGCAGUUAACACAUUAAACAUUCCGCCUGGGGAGUACGGUCGCAAGAUUAAAACUCAAAGGAAUAGACGGGGACCCGCACAAGUGGUGGAGCAUGUGGUUUAAUUCGAAGAUACGCGAAGAACCUUACCUGGCCUUGACAUUGAAGGAACCUGGUAGAGAUACUGGGGUGCCCUUUUAGGGAGCCUGAAAACAGGUGCUGCACGGCUGUCGUCAGCUCGUGUCGUGAGAUGUUGGGUUAAGUCCCGCAACGAGCGCAACCCUCGUGACUAGUUACUAACGGUUAGGCCGAGGACUCUAGUCAGACUGCCUUCGCAAGGAGGAGGAAGGUGAGGACGACGUCAAGUCAUCAUGGCCCUUAUGCCCAGGGCUACACACGUGCUACAAUGGCCGGUACAAAGGGCAGCGACACCGCGAGGUGAAGCAAAUCCCAAAAAGCCGGUCUCAGUUCGGAUCGGAGUCUGCAACUCGACUCCGUGAAGGUGGAAUCGCUAGUAAUCCCGGAUCAGCAUGCCGGGGUGAAUACGUUCCCGGGCCUUGUACACACCGCCCGUCACACCACGAAAGCUGGCUGUACCAGAAGUCGCUGAGCUAACCCCGCAAGGGGAGGCAAGCGCCCAAGGUAUGGUCAG